This 21-nucleotide non-coding RNA is filed under the name Caenorhabditis elegans. Lineage: Eukaryota; Metazoa; Nematoda; Chromadorea; Rhabditida; Rhabditidae. The record is from RNAcentral.
UACCAAUCUUCUUAUUAUUGG